RNAcentral lists this ribosomal RNA (498 nucleotides) under uncultured bacterium. RNAcentral's name for it is "partial 16S ribosomal RNA". It matches the Rfam family "Bacterial small subunit ribosomal RNA", at positions 29 to 523 of the family's 1533-position model. The record is from RNAcentral.
AUUGAACGCUGGCGGCAUGCUUUACACAUGCAAGUCGAACGGUAACAGGCCGCAAGGUGCUGACGAGUGGCGAACGGGUGAGUAAUGCAUCGGAACGUGCCCAGUCGUGGGGGAUAACGCAGCGAAAGCUGUGCUAAUACCGCAUACGAUCUAUGGAUGAAAGCGGGGGACCGUAAGGCCUCGCGCGAUUGGAGCGGCCGCUGUCAGAUUAGGUAGUUGGUGGGGUAAAGGCUCACCAAGCCAACGAUCUGUAGCUGGUCUGAGAGGACGACCAGCCACACGGGGGGUGAGACACGGACCAGACUCGUACGGAAGGCAGCAGUGGGGAAUUUUGGACAAUGGGGGCAAGCCUGAUCCAGCAAUGCCGCGUGCAGGAAGAAGGCCUUCGGGUUGUAAACUGCUUUUGUACGGAACGAAAAGGUUUGGGUUAAUACCCUGGGCCGAUGACGGUAGCGUAAGAAUAAGCACCGGCUAACUACGUGCCAGCAGCCGCGGUAA